Molecule: ribosomal RNA, 253 nt
Filed under: uncultured bacterium
Lineage: Bacteria
Also listed under: 1 other name
Description: partial 16S ribosomal RNA
Rfam family: Bacterial small subunit ribosomal RNA
Source: RNAcentral
UACGUAGGGAGCAAGCGUUAUCCGGAUUUACUGGGUGUAAAGGGCGCGCAGGCGGGAAGACAAGUUGGGAGUGAAAUCCGGGGGCUCAACCCCCGAACUGCUUUCAAAACUGUUUUUCUUGAGUGAUGGAGAGGCAGGCGGAAUUCCCAGUGUAGCGGUGAAAUGCGUAGAUAUUGGGAGGAACACCAGUGGCGAAGGCGGCCUGCUGGACAUUAACUGACGCUGAGGCGCGAAAGCGUGGGGAGCAAACAGG